Molecule: transfer RNA, 72 nt
Filed under: Mus musculus castaneus (southeastern Asian house mouse)
Lineage: Eukaryota; Metazoa; Chordata; Mammalia; Rodentia; Muridae
Description: tRNA-Gln (TTG) (tRNA-Gln-TTG-4-1)
Rfam family: tRNA
About the family: Transfer RNA (tRNA) molecules are approximately 80 nucleotides in length. Their secondary structure includes four short double-helical elements and three loops (D, anti-codon, and T loops).
Source: RNAcentral
GGACCCAUGGUGUAAUGGUUAGCACUCUGGACUUUGAAUCCAGCAAUCCAAGUUCAAAUCUUGGUGGGACCU